This 77-nucleotide transfer RNA is filed under the name Bacillota bacterium. RNAcentral describes it as "tRNA-Val". It matches the Rfam family "tRNA". From Rfam's summary of the family: Transfer RNA (tRNA) molecules are approximately 80 nucleotides in length. The record is from RNAcentral. Lineage: Bacteria; Bacillati; Bacillota.
GGGGUGCUAGCUCAGUUGGUUAGAGCGCAACGUUGACAUCGUUGAGGCCAGUGGUUCGACUCCACUGCACCCCACCA